AGUGAACGCUGGCGGUAGGCCUAACACAUGCGAGUCGAACGGCAGCACAGUAAGAGCUUGCUCUUACGGGUGGCGAGUGGCGGACGGGUGAGGAAUACAUCGGAAUCUACUUUUUCGUGGGGGAUAACGUAGGGAAACUUACGCUAAUACCGCAUACGACCUACGGGUGAAAGCAGGGGAUCUUCGGACCUUGCGCGAUUGAAUGAGCCGAUGUCGGAUUAGCCAGUUGGCGGGGUAAAGGCCCACCAAGGCGACGAUCCGUAGCUGGUCUGAGAGGAUGAUCAGCCACACUGGAACUGAGACACGGUCCAGACUCCUACGGGAGGCAGCAGUGGGGAAUAUUGGACAAUGGGCGCAAGCCUGAUCCAGCCAUACCGCGUGGGUGAAGAAGGCCUUCGGGUUGUAAAGCCCUUUUGUUGGGAAAGAAAAGCAGCAGGUUAAUACCCCGCUGUUCUGACGGUACCCAAAGAAUAAGCACCGGCUAACUUCGUG
This 492-nucleotide ribosomal RNA is filed under the name uncultured bacterium. RNAcentral describes it as "partial 16S ribosomal RNA". It matches the Rfam family "Bacterial small subunit ribosomal RNA", at positions 29 to 507 of the family's 1533-position model. The record is from RNAcentral.